Molecule: small nuclear RNA, 22 nt
Filed under: Arabidopsis thaliana (thale cress)
Lineage: Eukaryota; Viridiplantae; Streptophyta; Magnoliopsida; Brassicales; Brassicaceae
Description: snRNA_06252
Source: RNAcentral
UUUAGAGAAAAAGUGAAAUAAA